RNAcentral lists this ribosomal RNA (497 nucleotides) under uncultured bacterium. RNAcentral's name for it is "partial 16S ribosomal RNA". It matches the Rfam family "Bacterial small subunit ribosomal RNA", at positions 28 to 507 of the family's 1533-position model. The record is from RNAcentral.
GAUGAACGCUGGCGGCGUGCCUAAUACAUGCAAGUCGAGCGAACGGACGAGAAGCUUGCUUCUCUGAUGUUAGCGGCGGACGGGUGAGUAACAUGUGGAUAACCUACCUAUAAGACUGGGAUAACUUCGGGAAACCGGAGCUAAUACCGGAUAAUAUAUUGAACCGCAUGGUUCAAUAGUGAAAGACGGUUUUGCUGUCACUUAUAGAUGGAUCCGCGCCGCAUUAGCUAGUUGGUAAGGUAACGGCUUACCAAGGCAACGAUGCGUAGCCGACCUGAGAGGGUGAUCGGCCACACUGGAACUGAGACACGAUCCAGACUCCUACGGGAGGCAGCAGUAGGGAAUCUUCCGCAAUGGGCGAAAGCCUGACGGAGCAACGCCGCGUGAGUGAUGAAGGUCUUCGGAUCGUAAAACUCUGUUAUUAGGGAAGAACAAAUGUGUAAGUAACUAUGCGCGUCUUGACGGUACCUAAUCAGAAAGCCACGGCUAACUACGUG